Coffea arabica (coffee) is the source of this 1046-nucleotide long non-coding RNA. RefSeq lists it as uncharacterized. The record is from RefSeq and is a predicted model, not a curated record. NCBI's taxonomy places the organism in Eukaryota, Viridiplantae, Streptophyta, Magnoliopsida, Gentianales, Rubiaceae.
CUCACUUAUCUCUCUCAAUUGAUCGAGCACUCAUAUGUUCUUCUCUCAAAGGCCAAGAUUGGUGGUUUUUAGUCCAAAAAUAGAAGAACAGAUGCGGGAAUUGCUAAACGUGAAGGAGACCUCUGAGGAAUUGCUAAAAAACGAAGGCCCACCUCCUGUCUAUCUCCUAAGAAUUGCAAAACUUGAAGGGGCUUAGGUUUUAUUGCUGUAAGAAAACCUCAGAGCAACUUCAAUGCUUCAUCCACUUGCUUCAAAUACUGUUAGAUCAAUAUUUUGGUGCCAUUUUCUUAGCUACUCUGAAUCUGUUGAGGGCGUUUGCAACUGGAGGAUAUGCUGCUAUGCAGAGGAUUACUCGGUGGAACCUAGAUUUCACAGAGCACAGCGAACAAGGUGAUAGAUACCGUGAACUAGCUCACCAUGUAGACGAGGCUCUUGGAUUUAUGGCUGCUGCUGGACUUACAAUUGACCAUCCAAUCAUGACGACCACCGAGUUCUGGACAUCGCAUGAGUGCUUGCUACCAAUAUCCCUGCUGCAGAAAUGGCUGCAGUAGUUGUAUCUGGGGGAAUUAGUAAUGCAUUAGGCGGGAAGCCAAAUAAAACUGUUGAUAAGGCGAUGCUAUUAAGAGGGGAGAAGUGUCCAAGGAUUGUUUUCCGGCUUAUGAUUCUCUAUCUUUGUAAAUCCUCACUUGAAAGGGCAUCUCGAUGUGUCCAGCAGUUUAUUCCUCUUCUUCCUAGUCUUCUGACAGCUGAUGAUGAGCAAAGCAAGAACAGAGUGCAACUUUUCAUAUGGUACAGUUUGAUGCCUCAUAGAUUUAGAUUGGUCAACAAACAAUGCUCUCUAUCACUUGAACUUGCAUUUAUCAUCGCUGAGCGACUGAGAAAGAGGCGGCUUGGAUCCCAAAAGUCAGUAGCAUUUUAGGUAUUCUAGAAUGAUUUUGAGGGCGUCAAUUAUGUCUGUACCAUUCUGCAGCAUAUGUUUCUCUGUAUCAAUUUAUUCAACAUGUUUGUUUCUCUAUUUAUAAGUAUACCAUGUAUUACUCUGUCAA